UGAGGGAUGACGGCCUUCGGGUUGUAAACCUUUUUAGCAGGGAAGAAGCGAAAGUGACGGUACCUGCAGAAAAAGCGCCGGCUAACUACGUGCCAGCAGCCGCGGUAAUACGUAGGGCGCAAGCGUUAUCCGGAAUUAUUGGGCGUAAAGAGCUCGUAGGCGGUUUGUCGCGUCUGCUGUGAAAUCCCGAGGCUCAACCUCGGGCCUGCAGUGGGUACGGGCAGACUAGAGUGCGGUAGGGGAGAUUGGAAUUCCUGGUGUAGCGGUGGAAUGCGCAGAUAUCAGGAGGAACACCGAUGGCGAAGGCAGAUCUCUGGGCCGUAACUGACGCUGAGGAGCGAAAGGGUGGGGAGCAAACAGGCUUAGAUACCCUGGUAGUCCACCCCGUAAACGUUGGGAACUAGUUGUGGGGUCCAUUCCACGGAUUCCGUGACGCAGCUAACGCAUUAAGUUCCCCGUGGAGUACGGCCGCAAGGCUAAAACUCAAAGGAAUUGACGGGGACCCGCACAAGCGGCGGAGCAUGCGGAUUAAUUCGAUGCAACGCGAAGAACCUUACCAAGGCUUGACAUAUACGAGAACGGGCCAGAAAUGGUCAACUCUUUGGACACUCGUAAACAGGUGGUGCAUGGUUGUCGUCAGCUCGUGUCGUGAGAUGUUGGGUUAAGUCCCGCAACGAGCGCAACCCUCGUUCUAUGUUGCCAGCACGUAAUGGUGGGAACUCAUGGGAUACUGCCGGGGUCAACUCGGAGGAAGGUGGGGAUGACGUCAAAUCAUCAUGCCCCUUAUGUCUUGGGCUUCACGCAUGCUACAAUGGCCGGUACAAAGGGCUGCAAUACCGUGAGGUGGAGCGAAUCCCAAAAAGCCGGUCCCAGUUCGGAUUGAGGUCUGCAACUCGACCUCAUGAAGUCGGAGUCGCUAGUAAUCGCAGAUCAGCAACGCUGCGGUGAAUACGUUCCCGGGUCUUGUACACACCGCCCGUCAAGUCAUGAAAGUCGGUAACACCUGAAGCCGGUGGCCUAACCCUUGUGGAGGGAGCCGUCGAAGGUGGGAUCGGUAAUUAGGACUAAGU
Molecule: ribosomal RNA, 1070 nt
Filed under: Microbacterium paraoxydans
Lineage: Bacteria; Bacillati; Actinomycetota; Actinomycetes; Micrococcales; Microbacteriaceae
Description: bacterial SSU rRNA
Rfam family: Bacterial small subunit ribosomal RNA
Source: RNAcentral